Molecule: ribosomal RNA, 429 nt
Filed under: Bacteroidota bacterium
Lineage: Bacteria; Pseudomonadati; Bacteroidota
Description: Bacteroidetes bacterium partial 16S ribosomal RNA
Rfam family: Bacterial small subunit ribosomal RNA
Source: RNAcentral
UAGGGAAUCUUCCGCAAUGGACGCAAGUCUGACGGAGCAACGCCGCGUGAGUGAAGAAGGAUUUCGGUUCGUAAAACUCUGUUGUUAGAGAAGAACAGCGCAUAGAGUAACUGUUAUGCGUGUGACGGUAUCUAACCAGAAAGCCACGGCUAACUACGUGCCAGCAGCCGCGGUCAUACGUAGGUGGCAAGCGUUGUCCGGAUUUAUUGGGCGUAAAGCGAGCGCAGGCGGUCAAUUAAGUCUGAUGUGAAAGCCCCCGGCUCAACCGGGGAGGGUCAUUGGAAACUGGUUGACUUGAGUGCAGAAGAGGAGAGUGGAAUUCCAUGUGUAGCGGUGAAAUGCGUAGAUAUAUGGAGGAACACCAGUUGCGAAGGCGACUCUCUGGUCUGUAACUGACGCUGAGGCUCGAAAGCGUGGGUAGCAAACAGG